Long non-coding RNA from Syngnathoides biaculeatus (alligator pipefish), 2271 nucleotides. RefSeq lists it as uncharacterized. The record is from RefSeq and is a predicted model, not a curated record. The transcript has 3 exons. NCBI's taxonomy places the organism in Eukaryota, Metazoa, Chordata, Actinopteri, Syngnathiformes, Syngnathidae.
UACGCCGUGUCUCCCCUCAUUGGUCACUUCCACUUAUUUCAUAAUGCAUCUUGAUUCUUUCAUUAUGAGAGCUGUCAGACUCAUAUUUGCUCUCUGAUGCCCGACUAAUCUCGGAAACCAUGAGCAGAAUACAAAUGUACCGAUACUUCCUUUUGGUCUACAUUGUCGGGCGUGUGAUCUUCUUGUCUUUGGUCCUAGCAGAUGGCGCUGUGCAAUGCUGGUGGGAGGCUGCAUUGGCAUCGCCGCCAAGCAAGGAGCUCUCCUGCGGCUCAAAAGAAAUCGCCCUCAGCCUGCUGCAUGGUUUUGGCGCCCGGGGCCAGAUGCUCUUCAGAAAGCAUCUUAAAGAAGAAAUCCACGAUGACUUGCCUGCGUGCAGCUCUCAUUUUCCGUCGCUCCCGAAGUCUUCCCCCAGCAUGCCUGCAAGCAAACUUUCUUCUUUGCUCCCAUUUAAAUAGGAAAGUUGCUGACUCAUUUACAUUGCUAAUAGAUGUUGGUUAUGCGCCAGCAAGACAAGUUUGUCUUGUAGCUUUUCCUUUUAAACAACUUGCAUGACCCAAGGAGCUACCAGAACUAAACAUUUUCAGCAAUACUGUACAGAGACUACAUAAUAGAAAUACAAACAAUAAAAACAACACUCUAUAAACACACCAUCCAGCCAACAUUGGGACGAUAUAUAUAUUAUAAUGAUUUUCUAUGCUAGAGCCUGUACAGCGGGAAUAAUGUUCAGUCUUGAUUUACAUUGUCAAAGAGGUAUUAAUUUAACAAUUUAAUCAUAAGGAGUAUUAUUAUGAUUAUGGUUUUUGUGAUCACUGGUGUAUAAUUGUAUUGUAUCAUUCUGGUAGUUUUUUCUCUUUUUUUUCAUGAACUUUCAUGAGGAAUUGAGGUCAAGAAAUUAUUAGAUACACCUCUAACUGUAAUGAACAACAGUACAACUAAAAUCAAAACAACGAAACACUUUUUGGCUUUUCUUUGACUUUUUUUUUUUUUUUCUCCAAGGCGUACUUGUUCCUGGAAUGUUAGAAAGUUAUGCAUUCACAUUCACAGGAGUACACUCCGGGGUUACCGCAUGCUUCAUUACUUAUUCAAAGUCAAGGUUUGAGUGUUCUUUUGUUAUGUUUUAUUAAUAAUAGUGGUAGCAUGUUCCUCCGCUAUCCACAGUAUAGGGGCCAAGACCUGGUGUGAAUAGUGAAAAUUGUGCAAAUAAUUGCCGCUCACACACCCCACUGUACCACUUUUGUUUAAAUGCAUUUCCUUAACAUUCAUUGGGACAAGGAUGCCACAAGAUGGCACCAAAAUAACAAUGUUAUUGCUCUGGAUUGAGAAGAAAAAAACAGUGAAUAGGUGAGUUUUCAGCGACUAACAGAUAAAACCUAUGAAUGCAGAAUGAUGAAUAUGUUGGGGCCCAUUGUAAAUCUGUGACAGAUACUUUGAUAGUCUCACCAGCGGUACUUGUAAUAUGUAAAUAUCUGUGACUGUAAAAAAUAUCUAACUGUAGACAAAAUGUUGAACUGAAGAACAUUUUUUAAAGAUCUAGUUAGACUUUACAGUUCAGAUCUAUUUGACAAAUGACCACAUCAUUGCAGCUGUGUUUCUUUUAACUUCCUCGAAACCAUAAAAGGCAAAGGCACAUUUUCUAAAGAGCCUUUUCAGUGGCCGAACAACAGUAAGACACAGCAUGUGGUUUUAAUGGGACCACAUGAAAACCACUCUUGUCAGUAAAUAUUUAACAGCACACUAAUAACUACAUUCAAAAGUAAAUGUACAGGUUCAUUAACAGUUUCAGUGCAUCGCAUUCAAUACCUUCAGUAUUAGCUCGAGUAUUGUUUUCCCCCCAUAUAUUUACAUUUAGAAAAGGCUUGUGUCUUAUUCCAGAGGGUUGACUGGUUGUUGAAGAAAAAAUACGAGUUACUACUCAUGACUCACAGGUCUUCAGUAGAGCAUCAUAUUUCCAUUUUAAUGUUUUGCCCUGUUUACCAACCUCUAUCUACCUCAAUCCAAGCCAACAAGCUCCUCCAGAACACAACCUGCAAGCGUUGAUGUGAUGAAUCAUUUCACAACUAAGGAUGGAGGUCAAAUAGAGCCGCUGUUGCAGUGUUGUGAAAAAGUAUUUGCCCCCGUCUGAAAGCUGUCUGACGACACAUGCCAAGUUUCACUGCUGUUCCCAGUUUCCUUCAUUUGUAUAUAAUGACUCUGACUGUGAUUCACAGGAGUCCUAAAGGCUUGGAACUUUCAACUUUUCCAGACAGAUUCCAAUCACUAUUUUCCAUUUUU